UCCUCCCGGCAAAGGGCAAAGAGACACCUUGUUAGUGGUGGUUUUCUUAUAUCAGUCGGGGCAGAGCUGAUGGCCGUCCUUUGUUCCUCCAAGCUCGAUGCCUGGCUUGGUGGCCAAAGCUGUUCUAUGCCCAGGACUCACAA
Psammomys obesus (fat sand rat) is the source of this 143-nucleotide small nucleolar RNA. RefSeq annotates it as small nucleolar RNA SNORA48. The record is from RefSeq and is a predicted model, not a curated record. NCBI's taxonomy places the organism in Eukaryota, Metazoa, Chordata, Mammalia, Rodentia, Muridae. The transcript has a single exon.